GAAUGCUUAUCUUCCCACGUGCAUUUCCUUCCUAAGAACUGCACAUUUUAGGGGAAAAAAUCCAGCCUGCUAGAAGUCCAAAACAUGGACAGAGUUGGCCUUUUGCUACACUGGGGGAAAAUAAUGGGUUUGCUUUGAAAGCUGCGAGCUGAGCUGUGUGUUAGCCAAAGGGGUUAAACCACUUCCCAAACUGUUUUUCACUGAACUCUUGCCCCAAGGCAGAAGAAAUCUCCCUCUCUAAUUGAUGUCUUUAGUCAAUGCCUGCUUGUAAUCAGGAAGAUUGCACUUAAAAGGUAUGGAGGCCAGUAUUAUUAUUUGGCAUUAGAGGAUUUUGCUUUGUAAUUAUGAGCCCGGGAGUUUUCAAGUGCUCCACCGGCUGCGGAGUUUCAGAUAUCAUACAGAAACCCCUGGCGGCAUCUGCAGGGAAGCUUCUGACCUUUAAGAGGGUGCGCGCGGCACACCACACCGGCAAACACUUGUCUGCAUGAUUUGCACGUCUGGUGCAUGGCAGGUUUUUCAACUGCAGCCUUUUAUUUACUGCUCAGCACACAGUAAAGAAAAGCAGACAAUACUGGCCGAGGAGAAUGGGACAGUUUGGCAGAAAUGGUCGAGAUUAUGAACGGCAUGGUUGGGCCAAUUUCCUCUCUACAUCUUUGGACAGAAUUUGUGCACUAGAGACGUCCAUAUUGAUGAUAUCAAAACAACCUGGACCAAAUAUACUUCUGAAGAGCCACAACUUCUGGAAUAGCCCAUGUGGAAAGAAUCGCCAGAAUGAAAGCUUUAAAACAAAUCAGGACGACUAUCAGUUCAUUCUUCCAGCUGUGUGAAGCCAACAAAAGGCAAUAAGAAUGAUAUUAAAAUUAUCUUUUACACUCAGACAUGUUGCCAGCAGGGGUGGGUGUCUGGCAGUUUGUAUUCUUCAGUCCUACUGUUCUCAGGAAAACAGAGUAGGAAGACCAGAUAAGCCAUCUUGGG
This 975-nucleotide long non-coding RNA is filed under the name Monodelphis domestica (gray short-tailed opossum). Its description in RNAcentral is "lncRNA (ENSMODG00000031190.2)". The record is from RNAcentral. Lineage: Eukaryota; Metazoa; Chordata; Mammalia; Didelphimorphia; Didelphidae.